CUGGGCUUGACAUGUUCCUGACCGCCGUGGAAACACGGUUUCCCUUCGGGGCAGGAUCACAGGUGGUGCAUGGCUGUCGUCAGCUCGUGUCGUGAGAUGUUGGGUUAAGUCCCGCAACGAGCGCAACCCCCGUCGCAUGUUGCCAGCAUUUAGUUGGGGACUCAUGCGAGACUGCCGGUGACAAACCGGAGGAAGGUGGGGAUGACGUCAAGUCAUCAUGCCCCUUAUGUCCAGGGCUACACACGUGCUACAUUGGCGCGUACAGAGGGCUGCGAUACCGCGAGGUGGAGCGAAUCCCUUAAAGCGUGUCUCGGUUCGGAUUGGAGGCUGAAACUCGCCUCCAUGAAGGCGGAGUCGCUAGUAAUCGCGGAUCAGCAUCGCCGCGGUGAAUACGUUCCC
RNAcentral lists this ribosomal RNA (399 nucleotides) under uncultured bacterium. RNAcentral's name for it is "bacterial SSU rRNA". It matches the Rfam family "Bacterial small subunit ribosomal RNA", at positions 975 to 1375 of the family's 1533-position model. The record is from RNAcentral.